ACUUAAAUUGAAGAGUUUGAUCAUGGCUCAGAUUGAACGCUGGCGGCAGGCCUAACACAUGCAAGUCGAGCGGCAGCGGGAAAGUAGCUUGCU
RNAcentral lists this ribosomal RNA (93 nucleotides) under Aeromonas veronii bv. veronii. RNAcentral's name for it is "partial 16S ribosomal RNA". It matches the Rfam family "Bacterial small subunit ribosomal RNA", at positions 1 to 88 of the family's 1533-position model. Lineage: Bacteria; Pseudomonadati; Pseudomonadota; Gammaproteobacteria; Aeromonadales; Aeromonadaceae. The record is from RNAcentral.